RNAcentral lists this small RNA (127 nucleotides) under Marmota monax (woodchuck). Lineage: Eukaryota; Metazoa; Chordata; Mammalia; Rodentia; Sciuridae. The record is from RNAcentral.
GCCGGGUGUGGUGGCUCACACCUGUAAUCCUGGCAGCUCAAGAGGCUGAGGCAGGAGGAUGGCAAAUUGGAGGCCAGCCUUUGUAAUUUAGUGAGAACCUAAGCAACUCAUGGAGACCCUGUCUCAA